AUUGAACGCUGGCGGCAUGCCUUACACAUGCAAGUCGAACGGUAACGGGCCUUCGGGUGCCGACGAGUGGCGAACGGGUGAGUAAUGCAUCGGAACGUACCUUUCAGUGGGGGAUAACGUAGCGAAAGUUACGCUAAUACCGCAUAUUCUGUGAGCAGGAAAGCAGGGGAUCACAAGACCUUGCGCUGAUUGAGCGGCCGAUGUCAGAUUAGCUAGUUGGUGAGGUAAAGGCUCACCAAGGCGACGAUCUGUAGCGGGUCUGAGAGGAUGAUCCGCCACACUGGAACUGAGACACGGUCCAGACUCCUACGGGAGGCAGCAGUGGGGAAUUUUGGACAAAUGGGGGGCAACCCUGAUCCAGCCAUGCCGCGUGAGUGAAGAAGGCC
Molecule: ribosomal RNA, 386 nt
Filed under: uncultured bacterium
Lineage: Bacteria
Description: bacterial SSU rRNA
Rfam family: Bacterial small subunit ribosomal RNA
Source: RNAcentral